Molecule: non-coding RNA, 73 nt
Organism: Podarcis lilfordi (Lilford's wall lizard)
Lineage: Eukaryota; Metazoa; Chordata; Lepidosauria; Squamata; Lacertidae
Source: the annotation of a GenBank genome assembly
GGCUGAGAUGGCUCAGUUGGCAAAACAUGAGACUCUUAAUCUCAAGGUCAUGGGUUCAAGCCCCUGUUGGGCA